This is a long non-coding RNA of Brassica napus (rape), 941 nucleotides long. RefSeq lists it as uncharacterized. NCBI's taxonomy places the organism in Eukaryota, Viridiplantae, Streptophyta, Magnoliopsida, Brassicales, Brassicaceae. The record is from RefSeq and is a predicted model, not a curated record. The transcript is spliced from 4 exons.
AAGAAUUAAUGCCCAAAACAAUACUCUUUAGUCCUCAUCGCUUACCACGCCGUAACUAGGGUCUUCUUCUUCUUCUUCUAACGCCUGGUAUCUAAAUUUUUUUUCUCUGUUAUCUGUCAGCAUCAAUGGCGCCUCGAGUAAUUGGAUUACUGAAAUCGAGUUGCAGAAUCUCUUUGUUUGUCUCCAAUAGUCCAAUCGCGUCUUAUAGCCUUCUCUUCUAAUAAUCCGAAACGUUCCGAGUUAUUCAUCGCAUUUAUCACCUUAUUAACUCCAUAGGCGACGUGAACCACGAUCUGACUUUAAUUGUGAGUUAUACCUCUGAACUACACCUAUAAAAAGGUUAGCUUUCUUCACUUGAACAUCAUCUUCUCAAUCUGUGAAAACACUAAUCUAUAUAAUACCUGUGAAAUGGCCAACUCAUCAAUCUUCCUUUCUGAUCUGAGCUCCUCCACCGUCCAAGUGCCGUUGCUCAGGUUCUGGAAAGCCAGAAAUGUCCGAGUGGAGGGGAACUGAUGUCUCUUGAUAUGCUCUUACUGGAUUCAAAGGCCGUUUGUUCCUUAAUGCAACUUCAGGAACACACAUUUAUUUCGAUAAGGAGACUAAUGUUAGGAGAGGUCCUCUUCUACAAACACUGGGCUUCAGUCAGUAGCUCCGCUUCUGAAAGGAUAUGCCACGGUUGAGAAUCUGACCAUAUCCGAGCUUAAUGAGUUUGUCAUAGCUGCACUGUCUCAGGACAUCGAUUUCAUGUGUUCUGGGAAAGUGUUGAUUUAGGAACUGAUAAAUUCAAAAAGAAAUGUUCCUAAAUGUUGCAUAAUGAGAGAUAUGCAAUGUGAUUAAAUUUGUUAAACUUGCGGGAUUAUAAGUCGACACAAAAAUACACAAACCAUUUAAUUAUUAGUCACUUAUUGAUGAGUUAACUCAGUGCUACACUGAAAAAAACA